This 299-nucleotide ribosomal RNA is filed under the name uncultured bacterium. RNAcentral describes it as "partial 16S ribosomal RNA". It matches the Rfam family "Bacterial small subunit ribosomal RNA", at positions 335 to 632 of the family's 1533-position model. The record is from RNAcentral.
UCCCUACGGGAGGCAGCAGUGAGGAAUAGUGGUCAAUGGGAGAGAGCCUGAACCAGCCAAGUAGCGUGAAGGAUGACUGCCCGACGGGUUGUAAACUGCUGUUAUAAAGGAAUAAAGGGAGGCACGUGUGCCUUUUUGCAUGUACUUUAUGAAUAAGGAUCGGCUAACUCCGUGCCAGCAGCCGCGGUAAUACGGAGGAUCCGAGCGUUAUCCGGAUUUAUUGGUUUUAAAGGGAGCGUAGAUGGGUUGUUAAGUCAGUUGUGAAAGUUGGCGGCUCAACCGUAAAAUUGCAAUUGAUA